Molecule: ribosomal RNA, 285 nt
Filed under: Oxymonas sp. JF2002
Lineage: Eukaryota; Preaxostyla; Oxymonadida; Oxymonadidae
Description: partial 18S ribosomal RNA
Rfam family: Eukaryotic small subunit ribosomal RNA
Source: RNAcentral
AAAAAGCUCGUAGUUGGAUUUUGGAUGGAACAAGAUACCUUUAUGUUUUUUCUGCUGUGCAUAUCUGUUAUGUAGCUAGCCUGUUUCUUGAGGCUGUUAUGUGACGUAUGUAUGGUCAUAAAGGUUGUUUCGUCCGUGUUUUUAUAAAACAAUUUUUCGGAAGUAUUCAAUCCCCUUCAUUGGGCGAUUGUAUAAUUUCGGAGGGUUUACUUUGAAGAAAUUGUAGUGUUUAAAGCAGGCGUUUCGCAGCUGAACACAUUAGCAUGGAAUAAUAAAAUAGGACAU